ACUACGGGUGGCAGCAGUGGGGAAUAUUGCACAAUGGGGGAAACCCUGAUGCAGCGACGCCGCGUGAGUGAAGAAGUAUUUCGGUAUGUAAAGCUCUAUCAGCAGGGAAGAAAAUGACGGUACCUGAUUAAGAAGCCCCGGCUAACUACGUGCCAGCAGCCGCGGUAAUACGUAGGGGGCAAGCGUUAUCCGGAUUUAAUUGGUGUAAAGGGAGCGUAGACGGCAGCACAAGUCUGGAGUGAAAUGCCGGGGCUUAACCCCGGAACAGCUUUGGAAACUGUGCAGCUAGAGUGCAGGAGAGGUAAGUGGAAUUCCGAGUGUAGCGGUGAAAUGCUUAGAUAGUAGGAGGAACACCAGUGGCGAAGGCGGCUUACUGGACUGUAACUGACGUUGAGGCUCGAAAGCGUGGGGAGCAAACAGGAUUAGAUACCCCUGUAGUC
RNAcentral lists this ribosomal RNA (440 nucleotides) under uncultured bacterium. RNAcentral describes it as "partial 16S ribosomal RNA". It matches the Rfam family "Bacterial small subunit ribosomal RNA", at positions 338 to 795 of the family's 1533-position model. The record is from RNAcentral.